GUUUGGAAGCGGGUCGAAGCUUUUUCGGUUUAAGAAACGGUCCGUUUCUUGGAGAGACCAAACCGGAUUAUGAAUGUCAGUUCGUGAAACCAACUCAAGCUCAGGUUGAGAGCUACGUUGAAGCCAGGGCUAGGGUUCUGCAAAGGCAACAAAACCGGCUUUUUCAAAACCGGGAUUUGCCAUUUCAAGCAAAAGGUUUUAAUAAUAAUAAGUUCGGGUUAGGUGGUGGUUUGGUGAGAGCAUCGGGAGGCACCGGAGUUUUUCAUCCUCGCGUUCUUAACACUACUUUUGAUUCCGAAAAGAAACAAGGUCUGAGAAAUAGGCAAUCAUAAGAGAUUCAAGUUAGCCGAGAGAUGAAGGCCAUGAAAGGGGUAGGUCUUGUGAAGCAAGAGGGUUGCUAUUGUCAUCUUCCACCAGUGAUGUGGUUUCCUAGGGACUGGAUUUAGUCACCUUCAAUCAGCUUCCAUUUUGUGUGCAUGUGAUUUGCCAUGAAAAGAUAUGAUAAAUGACUGAAUAAGACAUAUUUGCGGUAGAAUGAAGUAGAUAGAAGGUGAAAUAAACUUGGGGUUUCAUGCAAAUCUUGUAUAAGAGACGAGAUGCUUUUGUAGUUAGUAUUGGUAUAAUAGUGUCCUUGAUUUAGCUUUUGUAGAGAUAGAUAUGAAUAAUGCUUUUGAAAGGCAUUCAUGGUGAGGAAUUGGCUGUUUUGCCAUCCUUUUGUAUUAUGUUUGAUGUAGCAAUGCAGAAUAUUUAAGG
This is a long non-coding RNA of Hibiscus syriacus, 753 nucleotides long. RefSeq lists it as uncharacterized. NCBI's taxonomy places the organism in Eukaryota, Viridiplantae, Streptophyta, Magnoliopsida, Malvales, Malvaceae. The transcript is spliced from 3 exons. The record is from RefSeq and is a predicted model, not a curated record.